UGUUCUUUAUUUAUUAUAGAUACAUGCAAUAUGUUCAGAGUGAAUAUGUUGUAGCUUUGUAUGGAAAAACAUACAAGUGGAACGAGUAGUAAAUCUCACUUGCAUAGCUAUGUGUAAGGGCCUUAGAAAAAUAAAUAAGCCAUUGGGCCUAAUAAGGGCAGCGGGCCCACUCGAAUUGGUCACAUGGCCUUGAGAGGGGUCCCUUUCCCCAAUUCAGAUUUUCAUUUCCUCAUUUCCCNUCUCUCUCUAGAACUCAGAUUUCUUAUUUUCUCUGACUUCUCUCUAACCUUGCUCCACCUUCUCUGUACCAAUUUCUCAAAUUUCCACCGUUGUUAUUUCAAAUAGGUGGUCCCCCUACGUUCCCGGAGUCGAGAGCUUCCAAUCCAUCUGAUUAGUUUCGCGUCUCUCCACUGAUAAGGUAAUUUCCCAUUCUGCGCACCCUAGGGUUUUACUCAUGCAAAGGUUCUACCUUGCAAGUAGAGUUAUUUUUAUUUUCCUUAUCCUAUCAAGUCUUAAAGACUAUGCUCUACACCAAUUUGGUGGCUUGUAGGUACUAUUCGGAAUUACCUCUGUGCGGAGGUACUGUUAGGACGCUUUUAAGAACUGUGCUGUGAGAACCAAAAGGUGAGGAGAGCUAAUUAUUUUUGGGUUGAAUCUGUUUUCGUGUUUCAUGUAUGAUUAAAUUCAAAAUAUGAUGUUCUGUUUGGAUUGUUUUGUUACUGUUUUAUGUUGGCUUGGUAUGAACUUGAUUGCAUAAAGGAAAAGAAUGUUUGUGAGAAUUGUUGGGUAGAUGUCGGUCACGGUUAUGAGAGGAGAGCUUUGGGUGGUGAUUUAGAGUAAGCGUGGUGUGCUUUGGUUUCAUAAGUUAAGAAAAAGAUGAGAAAAGAAAGGGGUAGGCUACAUGAAUUAAAGAAAAUAGAAGGAGGCACUGUAAUAGUUAUUUGGNGUGGUAUGGGUAUAACCAAAAUAAAUAAGAGAAAGGGUGAAGCUUCUCUAUGAAAAUGGAGGUUGUGUAUGGGCACACUGUGAGUGAUAUUUUGGUGAGGAAGGAGUGAGAAAAGUGUGUAUAUUAUAAAUAGAUAAAGGAGAGGAGAGAGAAAGCAUGGUCCCACGUUAGAGUUAUAGGAAAAUAAAAUAAAAUAAAAUAAGUUAGAAUUGGGUGUAGUAUAAGAUAUAAAUGGAUGCAGAGGAAGAUAGAAUGGGUUGUGACAAUAUAUAAAAAGGUGUGUGCGUGAAGGACUGGGUGAGAAAAGUUUGGGUAUCUUUCAUGAGGUAGUAGAAAUAAAAUGAAGAAAGAGAGAGUAGUUGAAGAGAGAGAAUGAUGAUGUACCGUGUGUGUGAGUGAAAAAUGCUACUCAUAUAUAUAUAUAUAUAUAUAUAUAUAUAUAUAUAUAAUAGUAGAUAUGAAAGAAUAGAAAGUGAGAGAGAGAGAAUUGUUUUUAGGAAAUUUUUUUAUGAAAAGCAUGCAAGAAAUAUAUGUAUGUACGGGAGGUUAAAUGUGAUUGAUAUGAGGGAUGAUAGGAGGAGUUUUGUUUAUAUGCUGCAGGGUGGUUUAAUAUAUGGAAGUAGCUGGUGUUAGGAAAUUGAUGUUAAAGNGUUUAUAUAUUAUAUUAAUAUAGUAUGUAUUUUAUAAAGAAAAUAUAAUAAUAUAUUAUAUUAAUAAAAUAUAGAUAUAGAUAUAUAUUUAUAUAUUGAAAAAAAAGAAAGGAGUAAAGUGUAUAUACAGGACAAAAGUUACGUAUAUAUAUAAUAUAUUAUACUUAAGAGUUACGUAUAUUAUAUAUAUAUAUAUAUAUAUAUAUAUAUAUAUAUAUAAUAUAUAUAUAUAUAAUAUAUAUAAUAUUAUAUUACGUUAGGCUUUACGUAUAUAUGUAUAUAUAUAUUUAUACAUAUAACAUACUUUUUAUAUUGAACUUAUAUUAAUUAAAGGUAUGUAUAGAUUGAUGUGUUUUAUGAGUUGAAGUGGACUAUUUGGAUUAUUUGGUUUUUGGUAUUGAUUAAUUUAGAUUAUAUUAGUGAUGAAUGAGUUGAUAUAUAUAUAAUUGAGACUAUGUUUGGAAAGUAAUGAGAAUGGUGCUAUAAGUCUUUUGAUUGGUGAAUAAUGCAUGUUCUUGAUGAGUUAAUCUUUAUUAUUGAGAUUAAAGGUGGAAUGCAUUGAGUUUAUGUAUAUGUCGAUUAUGGCAAAAAGUAUAUGAUUACAAAGUAAUGAAAGUACUAUCCAAGUUGAAAAUCCAAGUUCCAUCUGUGUAGAAUCUCUUGGUGAGAUUCUUAGUGUUUUAGAAUGAAAGUAGGAGCUCAGUCUUGGGGGUUUUCUUGACGCUCCAAUGGUCAAUCAAACUCACUUAGAGAGGUUGAACCAUGUGGUGAGGAGUAGCAGGAGGUCUUAGUCUUGGAGGCUUCCAUCAUGCUCCAAGGCGCGGAACANNNNNNNNNNNNNNNNNNNNNNNNNNNNNNNNNNNNNNNNNNNNNNNNNNNNNNNNNNNNNNNNNNNNNNGAAGAUAAUAUGUUAGGAUCUAUGUCAUGUAUUGUCUGGUUUGCAUACUUUUGACUUGAGAUUAAUUUUGAUAUGUAUAUGUGAAUAUAAUUGCAUGUCUUUAUAUAGUUAGCUCACCCUUGCAUUUGGUUGUGUUGUGCUAUGUCUGCGUGUUUUCUCUUGCGAUGAUCAUCCAUUUUGGAUGGGAGCAGAUGACGAGGAUGUUACUCUAGAGACAGUCUUGGAAGAGAAUAGCGAUGCAGCUGCUUAGUUCUGCUAGGAGAUUUCAUGACCCCCUUAUGUUAUCUACAAACAAUUCCUUCUUAUGUUAUUCUGAAAUACUUUAGUGCUUCAAGUUUUAAAUUCCUACUCAAUUUGGAUAACUGUAAUCCCUAUACUCAAGACUCUUAACUGCCUGUCUGCACUCCAGCUGCUUUCUUUAUUAUAAUGGAUGACGUCUUAUUAUUA
Molecule: long non-coding RNA, 2941 nt
Filed under: Vigna radiata
Lineage: Eukaryota; Viridiplantae; Streptophyta; Magnoliopsida; Fabales; Fabaceae
Description: long non-coding RNA (VRAD_LNC007628)
Source: RNAcentral